This 1078-nucleotide long non-coding RNA is filed under the name Homo sapiens (human). RNAcentral's name for it is "HSALNT0070607". The record is from RNAcentral. Lineage: Eukaryota; Metazoa; Chordata; Mammalia; Primates; Hominidae.
GUAAUUUUUCUUACUGUUUGAAAUACGAAUUUUAUAUCAGUACUAGAAGGCUUUUUUUGCUAGUUCCACUUAAUCUGACUUAAAACUAGUAUUAAGGCCCUCAGUCCAAACGGACAUCAAGAAGAAUUGAAUGGCUUUUAGGAUAGGGAAUGAGAGCAUAGGGUUUUCCUCUUAGAACUAUCCACAUGAUUUUCUCACAUAGAUUGCUUUCAUUUUUUUGUGUGUGAAAUUAUUGUAUAGCAUUCAUCCAAUUUGGGUUGUUGGUUAAGAAGCAAAGAACUUAAUCUCUAGGUUUCUGACAUGGCUAAAUCUGUGUAAGCUGGGGCACAGUUAAAUGUCUGUGUUUUCCACACUAUGAAAUACAGUGCUUAGUGCAUUCUGUUGAAUUUGAUAAACUAGGUGUAUUAAUCAGGGUUCUCCAGACAAACAGGAUCAAUAGAAUAUGUGUGUGUGUGUGUGUGUGUGUGUGUGUGUGUGUGUGUGUAUUAUGGAGGCUGGCAAGCUCAAGGUCUGCAGAGUAUGUCAGCAAGGUGGAGACCUAAGAGAGGGGAUGGUUUCAUUCCAGUUUAAAGGUUGCUUUAGUUUGAAUCUGAAAGCAGGAAAAUUCUGAUGUUUCUUUUAAAAAACAGUCAGAACAAAUUCUCAUUUACUUAGUGGGGAGUCAGUCUUUUGGUUCUAUUCAGGCCUUUAACUAAUUGGAAGAUAUCCACUCACACUAGAGAGGGCAAUCUGCUUGACUCAGUUUACCAAUUUAAAUGUUAAUCUCAUCCAAAAGUACCCUCACAGUGAUAUCCAGAACAACUUGAUCAACUACCUGGGUACCUCUUAGCAUAGUGAAAUUGACACACAACAUUAACCAUCACCCUAGCAACGGCACUUUUUCCCACUGCUUCAGAGCAAAUUACCAGUUAAAAGGAUUCAAUGAAUAAAAAUGGACAAGAGGAAUUAGCAAGUAUGCUUACAACAGUUUUUUUCCAAAAUUAAGAAUAGAAAUUAUAAAUACAUAUUCCAUUCAUAUAAAUACUAUAGCGAUUAUAUAACAAUAGCAUCCAAUGGUUAUUGAAUGUUUGAAAUGUAC